CCCUGUUCGAGCGAAUGAAACCGUUGCCUUCAAGGACGUGGAGCGACGUUGUGACGCUUGGAC
RNAcentral lists this small RNA (63 nucleotides) under Sinorhizobium meliloti 2011. RNAcentral describes it as "putative ncRNA". Lineage: Bacteria; Pseudomonadati; Pseudomonadota; Alphaproteobacteria; Hyphomicrobiales; Rhizobiaceae. The record is from RNAcentral.